Long non-coding RNA from Pyrus x bretschneideri (Chinese white pear), 897 nucleotides. RefSeq lists it as uncharacterized. NCBI's taxonomy places the organism in Eukaryota, Viridiplantae, Streptophyta, Magnoliopsida, Rosales, Rosaceae. The transcript is spliced from 3 exons. The record is from RefSeq and is a predicted model, not a curated record.
AGAGAUGAUGAGAGGUGUGGGAGGUCCUCUUUUGUGCAUAGGCGAUCUGCUGAGCGACGUGGGGGAAUCAAAUGCUUCGCCGCCACUGCAACAACCUGAGACCUCCUCGUUUUCUUCUGUUUCUAGCUUCGAUCAGAGCUUGGACCUCACCAAGUUGUUCUAGGUUUUCCUUUUUUCACAUUCUCAUUUACUGUGAAUUGCAAGAACAAUUCGGUGAGUUUUCCACAUUUUUGUUUGGAAAACCGAAAACCCAUUAGGUGGAUUUUUCAGUUGUAGCAUCCUUUUUGAUAGGAAGACCAAAGAUGGACAGAAGUAAACAACUUUUAUGUGGAAUUUGCUUAUGAGAACUAUGAGCAGCUGAAUGAGGCGCUUUGCGGUACAGAUCAUUCAUGGGCAGCUCUUACUUUGAAGUUAUGCAGUGCUUUGGAAACUGCAAACAAGUUAAUUCAGUCAACAAACUCAAAUGUCAUGUCAUUGUCGGAGAAGGUUGGAGAGCUUGAGGGAGUUAUCAAGAGGGCAGAUUCUGCCAUAUCAGCAGCAAGGGUCGUUCAUGGUUCACUAAACAAAAAGGAAGGACCACUUAUUGGCAAUCAAAAUGCCAAAUGAUCCAUGUCUUGUCGAGAGCAAGGUUAGUUAAUUCGAUCAAGGGAAAAAAAUGUGAAAAUACUAGGCCUUAGAAACUGAGGUGUUUGCUGUUAAAAAAGUCUUUUCCUUUGCUUUUCUUCAUUGUCACAACAAAAGGUAUCAUACAAUAGGAGUAAGAAGCUAACCUGCCUGAUGCAAAAGGGAGGUGUAACUAUCAAUUAUCCAUCUUUUAUGGAUAGAACAAAUCUAUCUCUUGCUUAUUUCCUGAGAUGCCUCGUCAAUAUGAGAGUUUUGGUUUCUACGGUUUUAAGA